GGCAGUGUGGCUUAGUGGAAACUGCAUGGGACUGGGAGUCAAGAGACCUGGGUUCUAAUCCUGGCUCUGCCA
Molecule: transfer RNA, 72 nt
Filed under: Ornithorhynchus anatinus (platypus)
Lineage: Eukaryota; Metazoa; Chordata; Mammalia; Monotremata; Ornithorhynchidae
Rfam family: tRNA
About the family: Transfer RNA (tRNA) molecules are approximately 80 nucleotides in length. Their secondary structure includes four short double-helical elements and three loops (D, anti-codon, and T loops).
Source: Rfam by way of RNAcentral